GACACAGAUCCUCAAUGUAAAAAAAAAAAAAAAAAAAAAAACACACACAAGAACAAGAAACCAGCCCAGACCCAGGGAGCGAGGCAGAGAGGGAGGAGUGUGUGUGUGAGUGUGUAUGUGUGUGUGUGUGAACGCGGGAGCGAGAGCGAGCGAAGAGAAGCGAGGGUGGGGGGGAAAGGGAAAGAAGAUUUUCUCUAUGUAUAUAAAGAUGGCCACGUUAGCAAACGGACAAGCAGACAAUACCAGCCUGAGUAGCAAUCACACCAACCCCAGCACCAACGGGCACAUGAACGGAUUAACCCACAGUCCCGGAAACCCCGCCACCAUCCCCAUGAAGGACCACGAUGCCAUCAAGCUCUUCAUUGGGCAGAUCCCCCGCAACUUGGACGAGAAGGACCUCAAGCCGCUCUUCGAGGAGUUCGGGAAGAUCUACGAACUGACGGUGCUGAAGGACAGGUUCACUGGCAUGCACAAAGGGUGUGCCUUCCUAACAUACUGCGAAAGGGAGUCUGCCCUGAAGGCCCAGAGUGCGCUGCAUGAACAGAAGACACUGCCAGGGAUGAACAGACCAAUCCAGGUGAAGCCAGCGGACAGCGAAAGCCGAGGAGAAGACAGAAAACUCUUUGUGGGCAUGCUCAACAAGCAGCAGUCAGAAGACGAUGUGCGCAGGCUAUUUGAGGCGUUCGGGAACAUUGAGGAGUGCACAAUCCUCCGGGGACCCGAUGGCAACAGCAAAGGGUGUGCAUUUGUGAAAUACUCCUCGCAUGCAGAGGCCCAAGCAGCCAUCAACGCCUUGCAUGGCAGCCAGACAAUGCCGGGGGCCUCCUCGAGCCUGGUGGUGAAGUUUGCAGACACGGACAAGGAGCGUACAAUGAGGCGCAUGCAGCAAAUGGCAGGACAGAUGGGCAUGUUCAACCCCAUGGCGAUCCAGUUUGGAGCGUACGGUGCCUACGCACAGGCACUGAUGCAGCAGCAGGCGGCUAUCAUGGCAUCCGUGGCACAAGGAGGCUACCUGAAUCCCAUGGCAGCCUUUGCCGCAGCCCAGAUGCAGCAGAUGGCAGCUCUGAACAUGAACGGUCUGGCUGCUGCUCCCAUGACGCCAACCUCAGGUGGGAGCACACCUCCUGGCAUCACUGCACCGGCUGUGCCUAGCAUCCCAUCCCCAAUCGGGGUGAAUGGUUUCACUGGCCUCCCACCGCAGGCUAAUGGGCAGCCCGCCGCAGAAGCUGUGUUCGCUAAUGGCAUCCACCCUUACCCAGCACAGAGCCCCACUGCAGCAGACCCCUUGCAACAAGCCUACGCUGGAGUGCAGCAGUACGCAGGUCCUGCUUAUCCUGCUGCUUAUGGCCAGAUUAGCCAAGCGUUUCCACAGCCGCCUCCCAUGAUCCCACAGCAACAGAGAGAAGGACCAGAGGGCUGUAACCUGUUUAUCUACCAUCUGCCCCAGGAGUUUGGGGAUGCUGAGCUGAUGCAGAUGUUCCUGCCUUUCGGUAAUGUCAUCUCCUCGAAAGUGUUUGUGGAUCGGGCGACAAACCAAAGUAAAUGCUUUGGGUUUGUGAGUUUUGACAACCCCGCCAGUGCCCAGGCUGCCAUCCAGGCUAUGAAUGGUUUCCAGAUUGGCAUGAAGAGGCUGAAGGUGCAGCUGAAGAGGCCGAAGGAUGCUAACCGUCCCUACUGAAGAGUUGUGGGAACCGCUGGAUACACAUGACUAGCACAGAGCCAGUCAAAUCCACCACAGUCUCGAGCUGAGCUAGGAAAAAAGUUCACGUAAUGACAUGAAAGUGGAGAAUACAGUCCCCCAGUCCGGCAGCAGCUGAAUGGGCCACAUUUAGAAAAAUAUAUAUAUAUAUAUUUUAAAAAAACAGGAACUGUUGGAUUACACCUUUGACAUAUCAGCAAAUAUCAAUCAAGCUGAAGACUUCAGACUUAUUCUCUCUUUGAUUGUUUAGACUGUAACAUUUCUUCAAGAAAAGUAUCACGUCUGCUGACUUCGAAGGACACGGGCUGGAAACAAACAAAAAUUAAUAAAUAAAUCAGAACAGGAACAAGAUCAACCAGGAUUUCUGAAGAGACAUUGAUAUCACCACAGCGGCUUUUCUCCAAACAGGAAAUGCAAACCUGGAUACGGACAAAGGAGUGCCUGUUUGCCACCAAGGAUGCGGCUACCAUGUUGACCCCAUGGUAACGGUCACUGAGCAUCUUUAUCUGUCAUUCCUUAGCUAUAUAGGGACCAAAGGACAAAACUUUUUAUCGCAGACUUGUAGCUGUAUGUAAAAUAUGGAAGUUCUUUGCUUUUCUCUGAGCUGUUCCUAAAACAGUUUUUGAGAGCAAUUAUAUGAAAUAUGUAAAAAUUAAAAAAAAAUGCUUAAAUGCUUUUAAAAUGGCAAGAUAAUAGUUCUUUGAUACUUUGGGAGGUUCUUUGGUUAUACAUUAAUUAGAGUCUAUGAAACUUUCAUAUGGUUUUCUGUAUAAUACGUAAGAAUCGCACUGCUCAAAGCAGGUAAGAUGAUGUCUGUGAAAAGCAAAAAAAAAAAAAAAAGUAAAGUAAAUAAAUAAAAAGGCAUAGCAAAGAGAAAAGAAAGAUGGUUGAUAGUGAAAAACAAAAAAGGUUUGUAAAUGCUUCUAACUCUCCCCAUUUAAAAUCCUAAUAGUUGUACAGAAUUUAAAAAAGAAAAAAACUUUAAAAUACCUAUAUCAUAGAAAAAAAAUUAGACAACAAAAAGCAAAAAAAAAAAAAACUACAUAGAAGUUAGCGUUAAUGCUAAAAACAAAGAUGUUGUAGAAUUGUAAUUUUUGUAGAGUUUAGACUGAGCAUAAAUUCCUACUCUCUGCCAACUGCUGUUGGAUGCUGUUAUUUAUCGAGGAGAAAAAGAAGAGAAAUGGCUAUUUUGGCAGCUUUUUUAACUGCAAGCAUUCCAGCUAUUAACAAAAAUAAACAAACAAAACUCGAUUGUUGUAGACAACGCAAAUGGGAAACAAAACAGCUGUCUUUUUAUCAGAUGCCGUUCUAACUUGAACAACAAAACCCAGCUACACGCUUCAUGUCUUCAUGAUCUGCUGUCCGCAAAUUCCCAUCAUCCUCUGCUUCAGUAGCUUCCAUAUUUGCUCUAGAAACCUUCAGGGCAAGGGGUUAGCCUAGAACCUUAAUCUUAAAAAAGAAAAAAUAAUAUAAAAAAAUAAAAAUAAAAAAUAACAUAAAAAAACAAACAAUCUCUUUGAAGAAUUUCUGAAACUGUUUACAAGGAAUUUUGAAAAACAGGGGGAUGUUUAAAAAAAAAGAGAUGCUGGCUCUGUUUUUCUGUAAAUAAAUUUGCAUAUUUUGUAGGACUUUUAAUUGUAAUGAUAGAGAAAAAAACAAGGAAAACUAUUUAAUGAAAGCACGAUAUUUAUCUUUGGUAAAUGACUUUAGAGCAGUUAAAAAAUAAGACAUUGCUUUGAAAAACUGAAUCAGAAAAACAAUGAAUUAUUUAAAAACACAUAUAUUUUAAAGUAUAUCAUAUUUAUUAUAAUUUAUUUCCACUGUAUUCAGACUUGAUUUGCAUCAUUCUCAUUCGUUUUAGUUGAACUAAGAAGAGUGUGAUGAUUAUUUCUGAUUCUUCAUUUAAAUCUUAGUUUGUUUUAAUUGAUUUGGGGUUGGUUUUUGUUUGCUUUUUAAAUAAUGUGAUUGUUAUCUUGGCCUUUUUUUAACACCUUAUUGGGUCGGAUCUUACUGCCCUUACUCUGGCAAAACUCCCUUUGGGUGACAGCGGGUGUUUCAUCUGAGUAAGGACAGCAGAAACGAGCCCACAGCCAGGAGGUACAGAUGUGUAAUGCAGCUGCAGUUCCAUACAACUGCUCUUUCACUCUCAAUUCCCUAAAACUCCUUGUAAUCUUCUGUAAUUAUUGAAUGACGCUUUCCAGCUUAGCCCUAAAUAAAGCACAGUUUAAAAAAAAAAGCCAUGUUCUUUACUUCUUGAUGGCUUUCCUCAAUGUGUUUGCUCUGAGAACAAAAUGAAUCUAUUUCGACUUUUUCAUUAAUAUACAUUGUUUGAGAAUCAGAACAAAUCCCUUUGUUAUAUAAAACAUAUCUCGUUGAAUUGAA
Caretta caretta (loggerhead turtle) is the source of this 4081-nucleotide RNA transcript. It is a transcript of the gene named CUGBP Elav-like family member 4, with no coding region annotated. NCBI's taxonomy places the organism in Eukaryota, Metazoa, Chordata, Testudines, Cheloniidae. The record is from RefSeq and is a predicted model, not a curated record.